Molecule: unclassified non-coding RNA, 325 nt
Filed under: soil metagenome
Description: partial contains 5.8S ribosomal RNA, internal transcribed spacer 2, and large subunit ribosomal RNA
Rfam family: 5.8S ribosomal RNA (bases 1-121)
Source: RNAcentral
GAUGAAGAACGCAGCGAAAUGCGAUAAGUAAUGCGAAUUGCAGAAUUUCCGUGAGUCAUCGAAUCUUUGAACGCACAUUGCGCCCUGUGGUAUUCCGCAGGGCAUGCCUGUUCGAGCGUCAUUUCAACCCUCAAGCCCCGCUUGGUGUUGGGCCCCGCCCGCUGUGGCCGGCCCUAAAGACAGUGGCGGCGCCGCCUGGCCCUCAGCGUAGUACAUCUCUCGCUCCAGGGUCCGGUGGCCGCCUGCCAGAACCCCCCAACUCUGUGGUUGACCUCGGAUCAGGUAGGGAUACCCGCUGAACUUAAGCAUAUCAAUAAGCGGAGGA